This is a long non-coding RNA of Mytilus californianus (California mussel), 4572 nucleotides long. RefSeq lists it as uncharacterized. Lineage: Eukaryota; Metazoa; Mollusca; Bivalvia; Mytilida; Mytilidae. The transcript has 4 exons. The record is from RefSeq and is a predicted model, not a curated record.
GUAUAAAUCUAACUGCUAAUGUAUGAUGAUUGCGCCUAUCGUUACGACACUACGAUUCAGCAGAGAAUGAUCACUUUUCUCGCCUCUAUAGAAGAGAGCUGUCUGUUGUAGUAGGAUAAUAGUAGAUUUAUCAUGAAUAAUUAAUUACAGUUUAAAUAUAGGACUUUUUAUUUGUGCAAAGAUAUACGAUGGAACUUAUUAUCAUUUUGUUACCCUUUUUCGGAUUAUCACUGAGGUCACCGGUCCAUUGCUAUGGGGAUAUAGACUAUAAGGAAGAAACAAAACACGUGUUCACAACUGCAUUCCAUAAAUAUAAUGAACGUGUACGACCCUAUAACAAAGGUCUGCACCCAGUUGAAAUUAAAGCCAAUUUAGAAUUCAUCGACAUAGUUUCCAUAGAUACCAAACAUGGUCAGUUAGAGAGUAUCGUAGAUCUCAGAGUGACCUGGCAUGAUAGGCGAUUGCAGUGGUCAACAGACAAGAUCCCGUAUAUUACGGUUAAUGACAGCUCAAUUUGGACACCAGACAUAGCCUUCUUGAAUGCAUUGGAAUCUCCAAAAGCAAUCAUCCGACCACGUUUCGUCGUGAUCGAACGAACAGGAAAUGUUUUCCAAUAUCACAGACUCAGAAUAACAACAGCAUGUAAAAAUAAAAACAACACAUGCGGAGUACAAAUAGGGUCAAACUUCUUCACAGAUUCUGAACUGCUUAUAACCGAUUCACAAUGCAGUAUCCACGAAGAACUGCUGUCUUCUGUCAUAAAUAUUGAACUUAAAAAUAUGACAGCAAAUAUGAGUAUUAUUGAACAUGCUGAUAAUUUAUUUAACGUAGAUCAAAUGUAUUAUCCAAAGUUUUCAAAAUCAACUUUUUCCAUAGUUACAUGUGAAAUUACUUUGGAUAAGGACGACAUGUUUCAAAUGGAACAUUCCCACCAAAAACAAGAGAAACCAGAAGCAGACGACGAUAAAACAAAUAGUGCAGAACAGACUAUUCAGCGUUUAGGCUUUAUAAUAAUUGGAAUUUGUUUAUUUUUUGUGUCAUGAAUAUCCUCAUAUAGCCAAUAGGAAGUCCUAAUCUUUUAAUUAAAAACAUUUUCAUCUAUCAUGUUCCUACUGAAGAAAAAAAAAAUACCUUGCAUGCUUUCUGUUUCUGAUCUCUGACCAAUUAAUAAUUUGGUUUCCCAACUGUUUUGAUUCGAGCGCCACUGAUGAGUAUACUUUAGACUGAAAGGGCGUCUGGCGUAUUAAAUUAUACGCCUUGGUAUCUUUGAUAAAUUUAUAAUGUUAAAGUAAGAGAACUGUAUCGCUCCUCUUGGUGAUAGUUUUGAGAAUCAUAUAUCAUAAAGUUUAUUGAUGUUGGCAUCAUAAUGCAGUCAAUGUUUGGGAUGAAUAUUUUCCGAAGAUAACUUGUCUAAAAGAAACUAUUUUAUUAGCUACAACAUUAUCCUUUAUAGUUUGGACCAGGUCGUCUUUACAUGGUUUGGGUGCCUUUAAAUAAAGUCAUGAAGUAUAUUAUCUUGGUUGCCUUAAAUACAGACACGUGGUAUAUUACGUCACGGGUGCCUUAAAUAAAGUUACGGGGUAUCGUCUAACAAUCACAUUGUAAGAACUUGCUCAACUAAUGUUAUGUUUGCAUUGACUAAGAUUUUCAUUUUUCGAUUGUGAUAAGUUUUCUUUCAUUGUCAUAGUCUGGAUUUUCAUAUUUGCCAAUAUUAUUACUGUAAUAGUCAGUCAUUUUGAAUAAAAAAUGCCUUUACGAAUCCUGUGAAAUUUCAACAUAAAAGUGUCCAUCAUAAUAUAUGAAAAUAAAAGGUUGACUAUGAUAAGAUAUAUCGAUUCAAGAUUUAAAUACUCGUUUCUGUUACUUUAAGGACUUGUUUAAUCAAAGAUGUGUGUUCUUCACCUGUACAUAUUAUGGCAACUCGAAGAAAUGAUUUACCAUUGAAAGCAAUCGUCGUUUAAAAGAAGUUAUAAAUUUUAAGAAUUCAAGUAUAUAAUAUUUCUAGCAAACAUCUAAUAUGAUAUAUUUGUAGAAAAUCGUUCCCGAAGUGCCUUCAGUCAGAGACUGUGAUUUGACACUUUUACCACUUUUGCAAUAACUACAAUUGACUCUAAUCUGAAAGUGAAACUUUCCUCACAAUCACGCCAUUGUUUGCAUUGGAGAUGUACGUGUACACGUAGAUUCAACAUAAUAACAGGCGUACACAAAACACAAAUUAACAGAAAAAAAAAUAAUCGAAACAAGGGUGAUUGCUUCACUGUAGGAGUAUAAUAACAAUUUAAUAAUUUCAGAUGCUUUCAUCAUUUGUUUUUUUAAAUUUUUUAUUGACAAAUAAAAUCAAUGCUUUACAUGUCCUAUCAAUGACACUACCUAACCCUCUCUUAAGAAAAAUAUUUAACAUGCAUAGUUGGCACCUUCAAACAAAUUUAACCCCACCACAUUCUAUAUGUGCCUGUCUUAAGUAUGGAGCCUGGUUGUCGUUUGUUGCUGUAUAUCAUAAUUGUUUUUGUUCAUUGUUUUGUACGUAAAUCAGUCUGUCAGUCUUCUCGUUUGAAUUGUUUUACAUUUGUCGUUUUGUGGCCUUUUACAGCUGACUAUUCAUUAUUAGUUUUGCUCAUUGUUGAAGACCGUACGGUGACCUAUAGUUGUUAAAUUCUAUGUCAUUUGGUAUCUGGUAGAGAGUUGUCUCAUUGGCAUUCAUACCACAUAUUCUCAUUUUAUAUAUAGACUGAUAUUUUGUUUUAUUGAAUGACAUACAAAUUGCCGUUUAACCUAUAUAUAAGUGUCUCUGUUUCAAAAUCCUGGAUUCGUCUAUGUCUAAUGCAGUUUGUUAAUCUUGAAGAUCAGAAGUAUCUUUAAAUACAUGUAACCUAAGAUUAGUGCAGUAAGGAUAUUGUAUCAUAUUAAUGGUGGAAAGGAAGUUAAAAUAGAUAUGACACAAAGACGAAUAGAAUAAACACCUAAAAAAUUGGCGAUGUAGCAUGAUGAACUCUCGAUGCCUUUAGGGUCUUAGUUUUGUUGAACAUGUGUCGCUUUAACGUAUACCCAACAUCGCUUUUUAUUCACACAUAAAAUAAUUUCAGAAUGUUAUAUAUAAUAUUACCAUAGAUAAACUUAACAAAUUAUAAUAUAAUGUCCGUUUUUAAUGUUGCGUGAAUGAUGAAUGAUAACAAUAAUGUAUAUUUUAUGAAAGGCAUGGAACGAUAAGGACUAGAAAGUUUAGUGUGUUUGUCGUUUGUUUUCCAAAAGUAUAGUACACAAAAUGAACUUGUUUAUUAUUAUGAUGUUUUGUAAAGGUGCAUAUAAUAGUUAGUGUGUAUUUGUUUGAAUAAAAGAAAAAAACCCAGUCCAUACGUGUAAACUUCAACUGGAUAGUAGAUUAGUCCAGAUUAUUAUAAAGUCUUAAAGUCUUAUGUUCGUCAUGUUGUUCGUGCAAUUUUACAUGAUUCUAUAUGCCAAGAUAGACAACUGCGAUUUGUCUUACGAAUGAUUUAUAUCCUUUCGUCUCACCUAAAGUGUGAGGGUCUGGAAUAGAGGGUCCUUGAAUUCUGUAUUCUUUAAUUUUUUAGCCAUGUUUCUCUAUAUUCUUUAUAAAAUGUGCCCAUUAUUCCCCAUUCUUUAUAUUUUGACACGCAAUUAUUCUCUAUACUUAAUUGUUUAAGCCAUUUUUUCUCUAUUCUUUAUUUUUGGUGGCCUUUUUUCUGCAUCUUUUGCCCAUUAUUCUCUAUUCUGUAAACCCUGCCCAAACCUUCAGGUGUAAAGUAUGAUAGCCGAGUGUAGAUUUUUGUCUCAUUGGCACUCAUAUCACAUCUUCUUAUUUAUAUUUAUACUUAUAAUGAUAUUGUUAUUAUGUUAUUUAUGUGUUUUUGUAAUUCCUUGAGUUCUUAUUUUCCAUAUGCCAUGUAGCCAGGGUUCUCUCAUCUGAACAGGUUUUAGUUAUCGGCAUUUUUAGGUAUUAUUAUAGUACCGACAAUUGAAAAUAGGGAAUCAAAUGAUGUUCUGUCUGACUGUCACACUGGUGAUGUUAAAGUGUCUAAAUUGCAGUUCAAUAUGUUGUCUCAUCUUAGUGGUAAAUCCUGUGUUAUACAUUUGUACAUGUGUUUGGUUUUUCCACUAUUCAUCGUGAGGACUGAUCUUCAAAUAGAAUCAGAACUUAGUCUUUUAUUACUAGUUCUAACAUGAAACCGUCAAAAGUAAUUAAGAAAUAUACAAUUUAAGAAACUGCUAGAUAUUGUCUAAAUUCUAGGGAACUGUGUCUUAGUUAUAGAUAAAAUUCUAGGGAACUGUGUCUUAGUUAUAGACAAUUCCACACCAGCUUUGUUCAAAAGGCAAAUCAAAAGUCACACACAUACACACGUACGCAUAACUUAUUUUCCGUAAUAAUUGUACGUAUAUAACGAUAUUAAAAAAAUAAUUUGAGCAUCGUUCUUUGGGUAAUUUCCGCAAAUUGUGUUAGAUUUUUCAGAUUUUAAAAUCUAUUUUUGAGUGAACCGUAUCGAAGAAGACUUUGAAUAUUUGUAAUGAAUAUGUAUCUGAUUUCUGUCCCGGUGCCGGUGUAAGAUUGAGUUAAGA